Molecule: ribosomal RNA, 625 nt
Filed under: Stachybotrys chlorohalonatus
Lineage: Eukaryota; Fungi; Ascomycota; Sordariomycetes; Hypocreales; Stachybotryaceae
Description: eukaryotic LSU rRNA
Rfam family: Eukaryotic large subunit ribosomal RNA
Source: RNAcentral
UGACCUCGGAUCAGGUAGGAAUACCCGCUGAACUUAAGCAUAUCAAUAAGCGGAGGAAAAGAAACCAACAGGGAUUGCCUUAGUAACGGCGAGUGAAGCGGCAACAGCUCAAAUUUGAAAUCUGGCCCCAGGCCCGAGUUGUAAUUUGCAGAGGAUGCUUUUGGCGCGGUGCCUUCCGAGUUCCCUGGAACGGGACGCCAUAGAGGGUGAGAGCCCCGUCUGGUUGGAUACCAAGCCUUUGUAAAGCUCCUUCGACGAGUCGAGUAGUUUGGGAAUGCUGCUCUAAAUGGGAGGUAUAUGUCUUCUAAAGCUAAAUACCGGCCAGAGACCGAUAGCGCACAAGUAGAGUGAUCGAAAGAUGAAAAGCACUUUGGAAAGAGAGUUAAACAGCACGUGAAAUUGUUAAAAGGGAAGCGUUUAUGACCAGACUUGGGCCGGUUAAUCAUCCAGCGUUCUCGCUGGUGCACUUUGCCGGUCCAGGCCAGCAUCAGUUCGCUGCGGGGGAUAAAGGCGUCGGGAAUGUGGCUCCUCCGGAGUGUUAUAGCCCUUCGCGCAAUACCCUGCGGUGGACUGAGGUUCGCGCAUCUGCAAGGAUGCUGGCGUAAUGGUCAUCAACGACCCGUCU